This is a long non-coding RNA of Eriocheir sinensis (Chinese mitten crab), 616 nucleotides long. RefSeq lists it as uncharacterized. The transcript is spliced from 3 exons. The record is from RefSeq and is a predicted model, not a curated record. NCBI's taxonomy places the organism in Eukaryota, Metazoa, Arthropoda, Malacostraca, Decapoda, Varunidae.
CCUAGAUAGGAGGACCUGCGCCACAUGGAGUCAUAGCUUCAGUGAUUUUGGUUUUCACGGGCUAUGGUUUCCACAAUAUUGGCGCAUUGGCAACUUUUGUGGUUUCCCCACGCAGUACAGAGCCGGGGCUCGUUGUGAGAACACGUUGGUUUACGCUCCUGCGCUCUCGUCGUCAUUUAGUUGUUGGAAUGCCUCCAAAACGAGAGAGAUACCUAUCCAAGGAGGAUCUAGAACGUUAUGUGAACUCUGAGGACUUCAAUAAAACAGUUGACAUUACAACAGAGGGCAUAAGUGACGAUGGGAGUGCUGAUGAGAGUGUGUGCUCUCGUCGUCAUUUGUGGCCUGAUUUAUCUACACUCCAGAGUUGAAAGACGGACUGAGUGGUCGUAUAAACCUUUAACUUUAUAGUUUAGUAGGAUUUUUUUGUUCAAUUUAAUAUUUCUAUGCCUCAGGGCCAGAAGGAGUCAGUCUUUAAUUUUUUCUCAAAGUUUUUUUCAAUUAAUUACGAACUGUAUUUAUUUUCAUUUACUCCUAUUCAUUUAUACCCCUAAGGUUUCCAGAUACCUUAUAUUUGUACCUCAACAACGUUUAGUGAGAAUAAAAAAUGUUUGCAUAA